ACGAACGCUGGCGGCUUGCUUAACACAUGCCCGUCGAACGGAAAGGCCCUGCUUUUGUGGGGUGCUCGAGUGGCGAACGGGUGAGUAACACGUGAGUAACCUGCCCUUGACUUUGGGAUAACUUCAGGAAACUGGGGCUAAUACCGGAUAGGAGCUCCUGCUGCAUGGUGGGGGUUGGAAAGUUUCGGCGGUUGGGGAUGGACUCGCGGCUUAUCAGCUUGUUGGUGGGGUAGUGGCUUACCAAGGCUUUGACGGGUAGCCGGCCUGAGAGGGUGACCGGCCACAUUGGGACUGAGAUACGGCCCAGACUCCUACGGGAGGCAGCAGUGGGGAAUAUUGCACAAUGGGCGGAAGCCUGAUGCAGCAACGCCGCGUGCGGGAUGACGGCCUUCGGGUUGUAAACCGCUUUCGCCUGUGACGAAGCGUGAGUGACGGUAAUGGGUAAAGAAGCACCGGCUAACUACGUG
This 467-nucleotide ribosomal RNA is filed under the name uncultured bacterium. RNAcentral describes it as "partial 16S ribosomal RNA". It matches the Rfam family "Bacterial small subunit ribosomal RNA", at positions 29 to 507 of the family's 1533-position model. The record is from RNAcentral.